Molecule: ribosomal RNA, 429 nt
Filed under: bacterium
Lineage: Bacteria
Description: partial 16S ribosomal RNA
Rfam family: Bacterial small subunit ribosomal RNA
Source: RNAcentral
UAGGGAAUCUUCCACAAUGGACGCAAGUCUGAUGGAGCAACGCCGCGUGAGUGAAGAAGGUUUUCGGAUCGUAAAGCUCUGUUGUUGGUGAAGAAGGAUAGAGGCAGUAACUGGUCUUUAUUUGACGGUAAUCAACCAGAAAGUCACGGCUAACUGCGUGCCAGCAGCCGCGGUAAUACGUAGGUGGCAAGCGUUGUCCGGAUUUAUUGGGCGUAAAGCGAGCGCAGGCGGAAUGAUAAGUCUGAUGUGAAAGCCCACGGCUCAACCGUGGAACUGCAUCGGAAACUGUCAUUCUUGAGUGCAGAAGAGGAGAGUGGAAUUCCAUGUGUAGCGGUGGAAUGCGUAGAUAUAUGGAAGAACACCAGUGGCGAAGGCGGCUCUCUGGUCUGCAACUGACGCUGAGGCUCGAAAGCAUGGGUAGCGAACAGG